CCCAGGUGCUGGAGUGGUGCUGAGCAGGUGGAGGGGAGAGGUGCUUUCUCCUUCAUGCUCUCGGGGUUUUCUCACUCUGCCCUUGCUAUCUGCUCUCCUGGAGUGUUAGCUUGAUGAGGUCACCCCUGCUUUAGAUUUUACCUCAGUAGGGGCUUUCCCCUAGGCUGUGAGGGCCCUCAAGGAUCUUUGGCGCUCCUGUGAACAGAUGUCCCCUCCCCUCUUCCUUCCCUCUCAGAGACUGCAUGCGGUCCCGGAUCCCAGUCUUUCGUGGAGUGAGAGAUUCCAGGCAGGGAAGUAACGUGCCUGACAUCCACGGAACCAGUUCCUCCCAGAGGUGGCACUGCUGACUCUCUGUUCACAGCCACUUACACUACCAUCCCUGCAGAAAUGGGGUGCUACAGAGAAUGUCCUUAGCAAACUUUCAGAGACAAGGCUAUUUUAGAGCGCAAGAGCAAAAACCCAUUCAACCUGGCAAAAAUCACAGAGUCUUAGAAAGAAUCAGGAUCUUACAGAGCUCCAGUCAGGCCUCAUUGGGAACUGGAACCAGCAAUUGGAAAAGCAGCAGGAACCUAGACAGUUAUUGUCCCUCGUGUGGGUGUGUGUAUGUGUCUCCAGGCUACUUUCUCUCUGCUUCCCUUUGCACACGAAGCUGCUGGAGCAGGAACCUGGUCAGCCCUUUCGGUCAGGUGUCCACCCCUUCUCCCUCCAGGAACGAGCAGGGAGCGGAGCCAGUUGUAGAAACAUGGAAAGAAUCGCGAAGCCGCUGACCUCAGACUCGCAUCUCUGAGGAACCUGACUUUGGAUUUUAGCCUACGUGUUAAACCUCAGGAAAUUUUAUACAUGGGCAAGGAACACAGGACCCAAGACAAGCAGACUGAUCGUCAAGCCGCUGUCUCAAUUUUUUUAAAUGUUCUUGAGAACAUUUGACGUGUUCUUCGAGCCAAAGCAAUAGCUUCUUGUUUGGUGAGCAUGUUUUCCGAGACAAUACGAGGCUCGACUUUAAAAUUUACCCAAAUAAAAGUGUGUGUGCAUGUCUGUUAA
Molecule: long non-coding RNA, 1041 nt
Filed under: Equus asinus (donkey)
Lineage: Eukaryota; Metazoa; Chordata; Mammalia; Perissodactyla; Equidae
Description: lncRNA (ENSEASG00005027321.1)
Source: RNAcentral